GCUGGUACUAUCAUUGAGCUGUUGACCAACCGUUUUUGCGAAGUGAUGUUUCGAAAGGGUCUUCCUUUCUGAUGUGGCUGGCGUUGGCAGAUAUUUGGUGGAGGCUUGGUACCUAUUUUGAGUGACUUGACUUAUAUCUCUUUCAAGGAACGACUGACUCCAAAACCUAGAAAGAAACUUGCGAGGAGAUAUGGGAAUCAGAUGGCGAGGCCAAGAUUAAGGAUGAUCUCAUAGGACCUCCUGCACCUGCAGCUUAAGGUACAGGGAAGGUUAUCUGGCUCGAUAAUAUGAAAGAGAUUCAUCAGAUCACUUCUCUCUUGCUACUUCGGAUACCAUUGCUCGGUGAGUAAUGCUGUUAGAACAUCCAAUUCCGAAAGCUGAUUGGUAUGACUAACCACUGCUGUUCCGGCUCCUACAACCACCACUGUCGCCUACGCCGCGGCAUCGGCCAUCCCGCAUUUUUGGCGACGAAUGGCCUCAAAGUUGCAGACGUGCAAGCCAAUGGCGGGCCGAUUGAUCCAUUGCUUGGCUAUUUCCAAAGAUAACAGCAGCUGGCCAGCGCUGACCAUAGCUGCCAGUGUCAGGCAAGACUUGAGUGAAGCUUCAUUCGCCGACUUCACCAUCUACGAUUCGGAUCCUCGGAGUACAUCAGCUAUUCAGAAGUUGUGGACUUUUGGCCCAGAAAUUUCGAAAGCACUGGAAAAUGGUUUAUUACUAAAUAAGAAUUCUGUGCAGGUUACGCGGGUGAAUUGGGCAUGGCUUGAUAAAUCGUAGCAGUGACAGCAUUAGCGGCGAAAAAUUUAUUAGUGGGAGUGGCUGUAGCGCAGAUCGUACAUCUUGGAGAACGCAGGUGUCUGGUGAUUGAUACGUCGAUCGCCACCAGAGCGGAUAUUUCUAGCGACGAUGAAGUGGUCUGGAUGAAAGGGAGGUUGAGCACACCUCAGGCCAUGUAUAUAUCACUGGUAAUCCUGAUAUUGUACUGAGCGUUGGGCAAUAUUAUUCGGUUAAUAUCUUCGAAGGGCCACAGUUCGAAAUCCGACUGGUCAUGGAUCUAGUGACAAUAUCACUAUCAAUAUCAGCAAACUCAAGCCAAGCUCCAGGUAUCUGUACCAUCUUAACUUGUUGACAGGCUACCUUCACACAAUUUAUUGAGGAACGCAAUCCGAUGAUAAUCGUUGGUUAACAUGAAGAUGUUAAUUCUUCCGGAAUUCCUUUCUUUUCCCUUGACUUUCAUUUCGCUAUCAGUAUUACUUAAUGUUCUUGUCAUAUGCAUUGAGCAAUAAGC
This 1285-nucleotide small RNA is filed under the name Cryptococcus neoformans H99. RNAcentral's name for it is "Cryptococcus neoformans var. grubii H99 hypothetical RNA". Lineage: Eukaryota; Fungi; Basidiomycota; Tremellomycetes; Tremellales; Cryptococcaceae. The record is from RNAcentral.